Corticium candelabrum is the source of this 1003-nucleotide long non-coding RNA. RefSeq lists it as uncharacterized. Lineage: Eukaryota; Metazoa; Porifera; Homoscleromorpha; Homosclerophorida; Plakinidae. The record is from RefSeq and is a predicted model, not a curated record. The transcript is spliced from 3 exons.
CGGAACAGUCACAUGGCGUUCACGUGUGCGCGCAUUCGAUUGACCAUGCGAAGAGUGCAUGUUCAACACCUUGAGUUUGAUGUCGAAUGAGUCACAAUAUAUUUCAGUCUGAUGCUACAAUGGAAAUGGAAAUUCUGAAUCAAGGAUCAAGUGGCAAGACAUAGACUAUCUACUGUAAUAAUACUGUAAUAUCUGAUUAGCUAUGAAUAUCGUCACUUCAACCAUUACAGACUAUUGUAGCGGUGAUACGGAAUUUGUGGUAUGACAGUCACUUUGUAUCAUUUUAUAGAUUUACAAGUAGCGCACUUGGGUUAAAUUAGAAACUGGUGUAAAUUCAUAAUACUUCCUGACAAGUCAAUCGUUUCUCCAGAGGUUCAUUGCUGAAGAAGUGAGAGUGAAAAUACAGCUUUUAGUUGUAAGAAAUAUUGAUAUGACCUUAACUUACUUAGUUAGGCUAGCAGUAAGUAACACUAUAUAGCAGUCAUAUGAAUGAGCAUAUGCCAAUCAGUAUUCAGUUUUCCUUUACAUUCUUCUAGGAGGGACAGCUCGUUGUGCUAUACCUGCUGGUGUGUUCAGUUCAAGGCUGAAAGGCACCAGCAAAAUCAGCUUGUGAUUCUGAUGGCAUCUGCCGAGCUGCUACAGAGCGAAGGGAGAAACUAUCUGAGAAACACACCAGCAUGAGAGAGAAUACAAAAUGUUGAUUUUAAUAUGUGCAACAAAUGCCUUCCAUGCAACUCUGAUUCAAGGAAAUGUCAAACAAUGACUUUGCUGAAGUUGAAUGUUGCUGCUCUUGAUCGUCUACGCAAAAUGAUAGUUACAAGUUUAUAUUAUUAUUGCAGUGACUGAACUUGUACUACUCAACUGCAUGCAAAAACCAUUUCCAUGGAACAUGACAUGCUGUCUGUCUGUCUGUCUGUCUGUUAGUUUUGUCUGUUUGCCUACCAGUGAUCUGCCUGUAGAUCAAACAAAAUCUUUCUUGUGUUUCUUUACUUUCAACUUGGAA